AUUGAACGCUGGCGGCAGGCCUAACACAUGCAAGUCGAACGGUGACAGGAAGAAGCUUGCUUCUUUGCUGACGAGUGGCGGACGGGUGAGUAAUGUCUGGGAAACUGCCUGAUGGAGGGGGAUAACUACUGGAAACGGUAGCUAAUACCGCAUAAUGUCGCAAGACCAAAGAGGGGGACCUUCGGGCCUCUUGCCAUCGGAUGUGCCCAGAUGGGAUUAGCUAGUAGGUGGGGUAACGGCUCACCUAGGCGACGAUCCCUAGCUGGUCUGAGAGGAUGACCAGCCACACUGGAACUGAGACACGGUCCAGACUCCUACGGGAGGCAGCAGUGGGGAAUAUUGCACAAUGGGCGCAAGCCUGAUGCAGCUAUGCCGCGUGUAUGAAGAAGGCCUUCGGGUUGUAAAGUACUUUCAGCGGGGAGGAAGGGAGUAAAGUUAAUACCUUUGCUCAUUGACGUUACCCGCAGAAGAAGCACCGGCUAACUCCGUG
This 490-nucleotide ribosomal RNA is filed under the name uncultured bacterium. RNAcentral's name for it is "partial 16S ribosomal RNA". It matches the Rfam family "Bacterial small subunit ribosomal RNA", at positions 30 to 507 of the family's 1533-position model. The record is from RNAcentral.